GCUGGUCUGGGAACCGAUCUUGUAGUAGGCAAGUGAUGGGGUGACGCAGGAGGGUAGCUCUACCCGGCGGUGGUUGUCCGGGGGUAAGCGUGUAGGCCGGUGUGUUGGUAAAUCCGCAUGCCGUGGGGCUGAGACGUGAUGCCGAGCCGUUUUUGGUGAAGUGAGUGAUCCCGUGCUGUCGAGAAAAGCCUCUAGCGAGUUCGUGUGUGGCCAGUACCCUAAACCGACGCAGGUGGUCAGGUAGAGAAUACCGAGGCGUUCGGGUGAACCAUGGUUAAGGAACUCGGCAAAUUGUCCCCGUAACUUUGGGAGAAGGGGAGCCCUGUCUGGUGAAGGAACAUGCUUCUGGAGCUGGGUGGGGUCGCAGAUAGCGGGGGGAAGCGACUGUUUAUUAAAAACACAGGUCCGUGCGAAGUCGUAAGACGCUGUAUACGGACUGACGCCUGCCCGGUGCUGGAACGUUAAGAGGACUGGUUAGUGGGGUUCGUCCCCGCGAAGCUGGGAAUCUAAGCGCCAGUAAACGGCGGUGGUAACUAUAACCAUCCUAAGGUAGCGAAAUUCCUUGUCGGGUAAGUUCCGACCUGCACGAAUGGCGUAACGACUUCCCCACUGUCUCAACCAUGGACCCGGUGAAAUUGCACUACGAGUAAAGAUGCUCGUUUCGCGCAGCAGGACGGAAAGACCCCGGGACCUUCACUAUAGCUUGACAUUGGUGUUUGGGAUGGUUUGUGUAGGAUAGGUGGGAGCUGUUGAUAUUGCCACGCCAGUGGUGAUGGAGGCGUUGGUGAAAUACCACUCUGACUGUUUCGGGCAUCUAACUUUGGACCGUGAUCCGGUUCGGGGACAGUGUCUGGUGGGUAGUUUAACUGGGGCGGUUGCCUCCUAAAGAGUAACGGAGGCGCCCAAAGGUUCCCUCAGCUUGGUUGGUAACCAGGUGUUGAGUGUAAGUGCACAAGGGAGCUUGACUGUGAGACGGACGUGUCGAGCAGGAGCGAAAGCUGGGACUAGUGAUCCGGCACCGGCGUGUGGAAGCGGUGUCGCUCAACGGCUAAAAGGUACCCCGGGGAUAACAGGCUGAUCUUCCCCAAGAGUCCGUAUCGACGGGAUGGUUUGGCACCUCGAUGUCGGCUCGUCGCAUCCUGGGGCUGGAGUUGGUCCCAAGGGUUGGGCUGUUCGCCCAUUAAAGCGGCACGCGAGCUGGGUUUAGAACGUCGUGAGACAGUUCGGUCCCUAUCCGCUGCGCGCGUUGGAGACUUGAGAAGGGCUGUCCCUAGUACGAGAGGACCGGGACGGACGUACCUCUGGUGUGCCAGUUGUUCUGCCAAGGGCAUGGCUGGUUUGCUACGUGCGGGAGAGAUAACCGCUGAAAGCAUCUAAGCGGGAAGCUUGCUUCGAGAUGAGGUCUCCUGCCUCCGUGAGAGGGUAAGACUCCCUGUAGAUGACGGGGUUGAUAGGCCGGGUGUGGAAGCCUUGUGAGGGGUGGAGCUGACCGGUACUAAUAGGUCGAGGGCUUGUCCG
Molecule: ribosomal RNA, 1518 nt
Filed under: Nocardiopsis kunsanensis DSM 44524
Lineage: Bacteria; Bacillati; Actinomycetota; Actinomycetes; Streptosporangiales; Nocardiopsidaceae
Description: bacterial LSU rRNA
Rfam family: Bacterial large subunit ribosomal RNA
Source: RNAcentral